CAGUAGCCGCGGUAAUACGAAGGGGGCUAGCGUUGCUCGGAAUUACUGGGCGUAAAGGGUGCGUAGGCGGAUGUUUAAGUCAGAGGUGAAAGCCCAGGGCUCAACCUUGGAACUGCCUUUGAUACUGGACAUCUUGAGUGUGGGAGAGGUGAGUGGAACUCCGAGUGUAGAGGUGAAAUUCGUAGAUAUUCGGAAGAACACCAGUGGCGAAGGCGACUCACUGGCCCAUUACUGACGCUGAGGCGCGAAAGCGUGGGGAGCAAACAGGAUUAGAUACCCCUGUAGUCCCUGUCUCUUAUAC
Molecule: ribosomal RNA, 301 nt
Filed under: uncultured bacterium
Lineage: Bacteria
Description: partial 16S ribosomal RNA
Rfam family: Bacterial small subunit ribosomal RNA
Source: RNAcentral